RNAcentral lists this ribosomal RNA (460 nucleotides) under uncultured bacterium. Its description in RNAcentral is "partial 16S ribosomal RNA". It matches the Rfam family "Bacterial small subunit ribosomal RNA", at positions 338 to 795 of the family's 1533-position model. The record is from RNAcentral.
CCUACGGGAGGCAGCAGUGAGGAAUAUUGGUCAAUGGGCGCAAGCCUGAACCAGCCAAGUCGCGUGAGGGAAGACGGCCCUAAGGGUUGUAAACCUCUUUUGCCGGGGAGCAAGCCUGAGCACGUGUGCCCAGGCGGAGAGUACCCGAGGAAAAAGCAUCGGCUAACUCCGUGCAAGCAGCCGCGGUAAUACGGAAGAUGCGAGCGUUAUCCGGAUUUAUUGGGGUUAAAGGGUGCGCAGGCGGGCUGUUAAGCCGGCGGUAAAAAUUGAGGGCUCAACCCUGUCGAGCCGGCGGAACUGGCAGCCUUGAGUGGGCGAGAAGUAUGCGGAAUGCGUGGGGUCGCGGUGAAAUGCAGAGAUAUCACGCAGAACGCCGAUUGCGAAGGCAGCAUACCGGCGCCCGACUGACGCUGAGGCACGAAAGCGUGGGGAUCGAACAGGAUUAGAUACCCGUGUAGUC